UCAACCUAUCUUUUCGCCCGGGAUAACUAGCCGAAAGGUUAGCUAAUACCUGAUACGAUCAUCGAGUGGCAUCACUUGAUGAUGAAAGCAGCAAUGCGCGGAUUGAGGGGGCUGCGGCCCAUUAGCUAGUUGGUGAGGUAACGGCCCACCAAGGCAACGAUGGGUAGCUGGUCUGAGAGGACGACCAGCCACACUGGGACUGAGACACGGCCCAGACUCCUACGGGAGGCAGCAGUGAGGAAUUUUCCGCAAUGGGGGAAACCCUGACGGAGCGACGCCGCGUGCGGGAGGAAGGCCUUCGGGUCGUAAACCGCUGUCGAGGGGGACGAUUAUGACGGUACCCCUGGAGGAAGCCCCGGCUAACUACGUGCCAGCAGCCGCGGUAAGACGUAGGGGGCAAGCGUUGUUCGGAAUUAUUGGGCGUAAAGCGUGCGUAGGUGGAUUCGUAAGUCGGGGUUGAAAUAUCCGGGCUCAACUCGGGGACCGGCCUCGAUACUGCGGAUCUCGAGUCAGGAAGAGGGUAGUAGAAUUCCCGGUGUAGCGGUGAAAUGCGUAGAUAUCGGGAGGAAUACCAGUGGCGAAGGCGGCUACCUGGUCUUGCACUGACGCUGAGGCACGAAAGCUGGGGAAGCAAACGGGAUUAGAUACCCCGGUAGUCCCAGCUGUAAACGAUGAAUGCUAGGUGUAAGGGGUAUCGACCCCCUUUGUGCCGCAGUUAACACAAUAAGCAUUCCGCCUGGGGACUACGGCCGCAAGGUUAAAACUCAAAGGAAUUGACGGAAUCGAAUU
RNAcentral lists this ribosomal RNA (789 nucleotides) under uncultured bacterium. RNAcentral describes it as "bacterial SSU rRNA". It matches the Rfam family "Bacterial small subunit ribosomal RNA", at positions 121 to 925 of the family's 1533-position model. The record is from RNAcentral.